GCGGAGGAAAAGAAACCAACAGGGAUUGCCCUAGUAACGGCGAGUGAAGCGGCAACAGCUCAAAUUUGAAAUCUGGCUCUCUUUGGGGGUCCGAGUUGUAAUUUGCAGAGGAUGCUUUGGCAUUGGCGGCGGUCUAAGUUCCUUGGAACAGGACAUCGCAGAGGGUGAGAAUCCCGUACGUGGGCGCCUGCCUUUGCCGUGUAAAGCUCCUUCGACGAGUCGAGUUGUUUGGGAAUGCAGCUCUAAAUGGGAGGUAAAUUUCUUCUAAAGCUAAAUACCGGCCAGAGACCGAUAGCGCACAAGUAGAGUGAUCGAAAGAUGAAAAGUACUUUGGAAAGAGAGUCAAAAAGCACGUGAAAUUGUUGAAAGGGAAGCGCUUGCAGCCAGACUUGCCCGCAGUUGCUCACCUAGGCUUUGGCCUGGGGCACUCUUCUGCGGGCAGGCCAGCAUCAGUUUGGGCGGUCGGACAAAGGCCUCUGUCAAGUAUCUCCCUUCGGGGUGACCUUAUAGGGGAGGCGUAAUGCGACCAGCCCGGACUGAGGUCCGCGCAUCUGCUAGGAUGCUGGCGUAAUGGCUGUAAGCGGCCCGUCUUGAAACACGGACCAAGGAGUCUAACAUCUAUGCGAGUGUUUGGGUGUCAAGCCCGGGCGCGCAAUGAAAGUGAACGGAGGUGGGAACCCUUUGGGUGCACCAUCGACCGAUCCUGAUGUCUUCGGAUGGAUUUGAGUAAGAGCAUAGCUGUUGGGACCCGAAAGAUGGUGAACUAUGCUUGAAUAGGGUGAAGCCAGAGGAAACUCUGGUGGAGGCUCGCAGCGGUUCUGACGUGCAAAUCGAUCGUCAAAUUUGGGCAUAGGGGCGAAAGACUAAUCGAACCAUCUAGUAGCUGGUUCUG
This 892-nucleotide small RNA is filed under the name Paraconiothyrium cyclothyrioides. RNAcentral's name for it is "eukaryotic LSU rRNA". It matches the Rfam family "Eukaryotic large subunit ribosomal RNA", at positions 50 to 959 of the family's 3401-position model. The record is from RNAcentral. Lineage: Eukaryota; Fungi; Ascomycota; Dothideomycetes; Pleosporales; Didymosphaeriaceae.